Molecule: small RNA, 4453 nt
Filed under: Pan troglodytes (chimpanzee)
Lineage: Eukaryota; Metazoa; Chordata; Mammalia; Primates; Hominidae
Description: retained intron
Source: RNAcentral
AGUUUAUGCUCGCCAGGUAAUUCCUGGUCUCGUUUGGGGGCCCCCUCCUUCCCCCAGAAGGGAAAAGGGGGCUCUUCGUGGAGCGAAGGUCUUCUCUUACAUUUCUUUUGAGGAUUAUUGUGCUUUGAACAUGGAUGAUUCUUGGUCAAUAUUCAGCCGAGCCCUUAAUCAUCAGAAGCCAAAAGACCCUCCAUCUCUCCCAAGAGGACCCCUUUGACUCACACCGUUCCGUCGCUGGUUCAUUGAACCCACACCUGUUUCUGGUUCACCACCCGCCACCGAGGUCUCUGACAGCGAGGACCAAAGCGGGGUGUGCUUGUCACACCUUCUUGUUUCAUCCUUACCAAGGACCCCAGAGCUGAGGGAGGCGAGGCAUCCUGGGUCCCGCAGCCCCCAUGCGCUGCUGAAGGGCCUGCUGGGGAGUGGGUGGGCAGCACCAAGGGCCCGCUUUGAAAAAGGCUGUACCGGCUUACCAAAUCCGGGGACCAUUUUCAUGGCAAAAGUGUCCUUCACUCUGUUAAAAGAAUGCAUGGUGACACAGAUUUCCUUCAGAGCCAGGUCUGAAUGUCUUCCCCUUGGACUGAAGUCCCUGCUGUUAGAGCGGGGGAGCCGGCGGCGAUGGCGGCGUCCUCGUGCUGCGCUCGUGCCGGCGUCAGGGUCCCCCUGCCAUCUGGAGUGAGCAGGAGGCGGCCAGGCCAGGCCUUACCAGCUGAGGUUUGGGAGUUCCGUGCCUUUGGUGCUGAGGGUGAGCGUGUUCAUGGUGACUUCGUCCCUUGGUCAUGAGGAGGUUCGAGCUAGGAACCCCCUGCAAGUGGUCAACGCAUCCGGCUUGCUGUUCUAAGUGGAGGCGGCAGGCACAGCUGGGACCCACGCCCCUCAGAAGCAGGCUCUGUGGUGGUCGGAGCAGGCACCUCACCAGGCCACGCUCCAUUUGGGGCUGCUGAGAAGCUGGCUGUGGCCAGUCCUGAGGUCUCUGCAGCCCUCGGGAGCUUGGAGGCCUGGCUGGUUUUUCUAAAGAGUUGGCCGGGUGGCCAUGGCUGCCCACAGUGGGGUGUGACCUUGGGCUUGUGGCCUCCUCAGUGAGGGCCUCCUGGCAGGGGCUGAGAGUCCAGCGUCAGUGGGGGGGGGCUUCAGCAUAGACCACCACAUGUGUGUCUCUGGGUGCUUGGUAAAUGUACCCUGCGCUUCGGUGACAAGUUUUUUUGUCUAGUCAAGUGAAGCAGUGGAAAUGCAAGGAGCAUCUUAAAUCUGUUUUAUUUCUAACUGAUUUCAGUUCCACCUUUACCCUUAGGCCGACCAAGCAUCUGAGGUGCCAGGACAGCACCACCUUGCCAUGAGGCUUCAGGCCUGCUGUGACCCCUUGGGGAAAGUGAGCCCCAUGGCCACCUGCCCAGUUCCCAGGUCUUGUGCUGUCAGAAUUCCUGGUGGGCCCUGAGCCCAGUCACCUUCCUGUUUCUGUCCACCUUUGUACAUUCUGUGUGCAUAGAACACUCUUUGCCAACAAAGUCCAGCCUUGUGAGCCCUGGCUUGUGAGUCUUACAGCUUCUCUGCGCCUGGGUCCUCCAGCUGAGGAAGCAUCUUCAGGGUGUCCCCAGGCCUGGCGCCCGCCCCCGUGACACACACCGGCCUGUGUGUGCUUCAGCUGCUUCCAGGGCUUCCCUCACAGGCGGGGGUCAGGGCACGCACGCCAGGACUCCAAGUAAACCAGAAUAAUAAGCUUUAUGUCUCAGAUACCUGGGCUUUUGCCGGCUGGCGCGCAGCCCCAGAAUCAGCAGCUCCCCAUGCUCACCUCGUUUGUGAAGUGGGUGCUAGCACAGCCUUCCCUGGUUUAGGGGUUUAGGUUGGCUCUUGCUGUGGAUUUCCUAGUCACUUCGUGGCGUUGCUCUUUGGUUGUAGUAACAGGACCAGGGCUAAAAAGGCGUUGUUAAGGUGAACUGCUGUUGGGUCCAGUGUGGAGGGACCUGAAGUGCCAGGAUGCACGCUCUGCUGCGAGACAGUCAAACCCCAAGCCCACCUCAGGCCCCAUGGGUACGCCGGGUGCAUCUCCCGCAGGCCUUGGAGCAGCCUGCACCCCACCGCAUUGGCUCUGGAGCCUGGGCACAGGCGGCCAGUCCACCGUCCUGCGUCACAACCCUGCCUGCCUCAGGCUGCUUGGGUGCGUGGGGAGGUGGCAGGGCCCUGCUUUCUCAGCAGCCCGUGGUCGUGCCCCAGCGACGUGGUGAGUGACCAGGCUGGGUUUUAACGCUUUGUCGUGUCUUUCCUAGUGUCGGAGAUGUAUGCAGUGUGACGCCAAGUUUGACUUUCUCACCAGAAAGGUGAGCUGAGGCCGCUGAGUGGGGGUGGUGGGAAGAGGGGAGGGGCCCCAACAGGACAGCUGCGGCUGCCCCUUCUGGCAGGGGACGGAUGUCAUCUUAUGGCUUGUUGUUUUGUUUUUUGUUUUUUGUUUUUUUUGAGACGGAGUUUCGCUCUUGUCGCCCAGGCUGGAGUGCAGUGGCUCCAUCUCGGCUCACUGCAACCUCUGCCUCUCAGGUUCAAGUGAUUCUCCUGCCUCAGCCUCCUGAGUAGCUGGGAUUACAGGGGCUUGCCACCACGCCUGGCUAAUAUUUAUAUUUUUAGUAGAGAUGGGGUUUCACCAUGUUGGCCAGGCUGGUCUCGAACUCCUGACCUCAAAUGAUCCUCCCAUCUCGGCCUCCCAAAGUGCUGGGAUUACAAGUGUGAGCCACCACACCCAGCCAUUAUGGCUCGUUUUGAGUGUCAGCCAUGCCCUGUUUCCGUGGAAAGUGACUGUGCUGAUUCUGCUGGACGCUAUGGGGUGGGGGUGCAGCUUGCGAGGCCUGUGCACCCACCUGCCCCCCGCCUCCCCCUCCCCCCUGCCCCCUCCGCCCCGUCCCCGUGCCGCUUUGCCCCCGCGAAGUGUCUUGCCCCUAAUGUGUGCCCAGCUCAUGGCGCCCCGAGGCCCGAGGGCGUCCUAAGCAGUGGGACUUGGGUAGUUGAAAGAAAGCUGAAAAACAGCCAUUUUGAUCCAUGAUUUUGAAAAAAGGGCCUCAUUUCCCAGGUGAGGCGGAUCCCCGCUGCGUGGUGGGGAGCCCAGGGGCUGGCGUCAGGAGGUGCGCGUGUGCAGCGGCCGGCACAGGGGCCUCGCGUUUAGGCGUGGCCCGGGGAGUGCCAGGCCAGCCGGGGCCACACCCGGGGCCGCUUGUUCCCUGCCCCUCCUCACUGCCAAUCCUCCCGCAUCUGCCCAGCACCACUGUCGCCGCUGCGGGAAGUGCUUCUGCGACAGGUGCUGCAGCCAGAAGGUGCCGCUGCGGCGCAUGUGCUUUGUGGACCCCGUGCGGCAGUGCGCGGAGUGCGCCCUGGUGUCCCACAAGGAGGCGGAGUUCUACGACAAGCAGCUCAAAGUGCUCCUGAGCGGAGCCACCUUCCUCGUCACAUUUGGAAACUCAGAGAAACCUGAAACUAUGACUUGUCGUCUUUCCAAUAACCAGAGAUACUUGUUUCUGGAUGGAGACAGCCACUAUGAAAUCGAAAUUGUACACAUUUCCACCGUGCAGAUCCUCACAGAAGGCUUCCCUCCUGGAGAAAAAGACAUUCACGCUUACACCAGCCUCCGGGGGAGCCAGCCUGCCUCUGAAGGAGGCAACGCACGGGCCACAGGUAUGUUCCUGCAGUAUACAGUGCCGGGGACGGAGGGUGUGACCCAGCUGAAGCUGACAGCGGCGGAGGACGUGACUGUGGGCAGGAGGCAGGCGGUGGCGUGGCUAGUGGCCAUGCACAAGGCUGCCAAGCUCCUCUACGAAUCUCGGGACCAGUAACUCUACGUGGGGCUGAGCUUGGAGUACGUGUGGUCACCUGGACUGAGUCGCUUGGAACAGCAGAGCCUGCUCCUUGUGUACCACAGGGAUGAAUCCUGCUUGUGCUGGGAAAUGCAACUCAUGUAUUUGGAGAAACAGAAGUGUUCACUUAUCUAGUGCAAUAUGUUCACAGUUUAUUAAUGCUUUAAACAGCUUCAUGUUUUAGAAUUUGUGUACUGUCAAUACUUAAUUGGGGGUGGGAGAGACUGAGCUACACUACUGCUGAACUAUUUUUAGCAUAAUAUAUACCAUUUUUAUGAGUUCACAGGUCUACUAGAAGGUUCUGGCCCAUCAGUAUUCAUUUCAUUUAAUUCUUCCACAGAACCAGUUUGGGUAGUAGGAACUCAGGCUUCUGGUCUGCAGUGGAGCCUGUUCGCCUCUAAUAGCCAGUUUACAGCACUUGCCUUAGCCUGUUUCACAGACUGUCCACUUACCUUGUCACUAAUUUGGGGCUUCUGGGCUGUGAGUGAUCCUUUGAUACUUCACCAAGGGGAACGUGGGGGCUUUGUGUUUUGUACUUUUCACUCACUAUUUCACUUUAUUAAGAUGACUGUACAGCAAUUUGUAUAUAAAGCUUAUGAUUAAAACCUAUUUUGAACAUA